This 359-nucleotide ribosomal RNA is filed under the name Ixodes ricinus (castor bean tick). Its description in RNAcentral is "partial large subunit ribosomal RNA". The stretch from base 236 to 359 matches the Rfam family "Bacterial large subunit ribosomal RNA", at positions 2473 to 2597 of the family's 2925-position model. The record is from RNAcentral. Lineage: Eukaryota; Metazoa; Arthropoda; Arachnida; Ixodida; Ixodidae.
AAGAGAAUGAUUAAACAAUUAAAAGCUUUCUUUAAUUAAAUAAUUGAAUUUAAUUUUUUAGUGCAAAAGCAAAAAUAAAAAUUAGGGACAAGAAGACCCUAUGAAUUUUUUAUUAAAUUUUAUAUAAAGUUUUAUAAAAUUUAAUUUAAUUGGGGUGAUGGAAAAAGAAUAAAUAUCUUUUUUUUAAAGAAAAUUGGUUCCGUUUUUAGCGAUUAAAUGAAAAAAAUACUCUAGGGAUAACAGCGUAAUAAUUUUGGAUAGUUCAUAUAGAUAAAAUAGUUUGCGACCUCGAUGUUGGAUUAGGAUUCUUUUUUGGUGAAGAAGUUAAAAAAAGAAGUUUGUUCAACUUAUAAUUUCCU